RNAcentral lists this transfer RNA (77 nucleotides) under Paenibacillus larvae. RNAcentral's name for it is "tRNA-Asn". The record is from RNAcentral. Lineage: Bacteria; Bacillati; Bacillota; Bacilli; Caryophanales; Paenibacillaceae.
UCCCCGAUAGCUCAGUUGGUAGAGGCACCUCGACUGUUAAUCGAGUUGUCACAGGUUCGGCCCUGUUCGGGGAGCCA